CCUACGGGUGGCUGCAGUGGGGAAUAUUGGACAAUGGGCGAAAGCCUGAUCCAGCCAUGCCGCGUGAGUGAAGAAGGCCUUCGGGUUGUAAAGCACUUUCAGUGGGGAAGAAAGCCUUGGGGCUAAUACCCUCGAGGAAGGACAUCACCCACAGAAGAAGCACCGGCUAACUCCGUGCCAGCAGCCGCGGUAAUACGGAGGGUGCGAGCGUUAAUCGGAAUUACUGGGCGUAAAGCGCGCGUAGGCGGUCUGAUAAGCCGGUUGUGAAAGCCCCGGGCUCAACCUGGGAACGGCAUCCGGAACUGUCAGGCUAGAGUGCAGGAGAGGAAGGUAGAAUUCCCGGUGUAGCGGUGAAAUGCGUAGAGAUCGGGAGGAAUACCAGUGGCGAAGGCGGCCUUCUGGACUGACACUGACGCUGAGGUGCGAAAGCGUGGGUAGCAAACAGGAUUAGAUACCCCGGUAGUC
This 465-nucleotide ribosomal RNA is filed under the name Vreelandella stevensii. Its description in RNAcentral is "partial 16S ribosomal RNA". It matches the Rfam family "Bacterial small subunit ribosomal RNA", at positions 338 to 795 of the family's 1533-position model. Lineage: Bacteria; Pseudomonadati; Pseudomonadota; Gammaproteobacteria; Oceanospirillales; Halomonadaceae. The record is from RNAcentral.